UAUUAUUAUUAUUAUUUUUCAGGAUGACAUGAUCAGGAGUUGCUGGUGUUCUGUUCUCCUGGACAGCUUCACUCCGCAAAUCGCUCAACCACUGAGGGGAGGAACUUCACCAUUCAAAAGACAAUGUCUUCAGGCAGAGUCCAGCAAAGCAGCUUCCCCUGGAAAUCCUCAGGGAAGUUAUUUUGUCAGCGGGUGACUCUGCAUGUUUGACUCUUUCUCUGGUUUGCAGAUGGUUUAGGGAUGUGGUCACUCAAGAAGUUUUCCGGAAAGCGGCACACUUUGCCUGGCUAGACAAAUUGAGUUCAGACGGAUGUACAGCAUCAGGGAAUGCUUGCAGUGCAGAGCCCUUUUCAAGUUUAACCCACCAGGGUACAGGGAAGAGGCCGGCGUGGUGAUCUUCUGGGCUUUUGUUUACACAGGAUUUUGUUCCAAGGACUAUUUUUUUUUUUUUUUUUUUUUUUUUUUUUUUUUUUUGCGGCAUGAAACACAUUUGUGUGUCCAUUGAAGGGAAAUUGAGAAUGAACUGAGAUCAACUGGUUUUGAUGUAUUAAUUGAUGUCAUUUAAAGUUAAACUUUGCAGUGUAUAAUGUUUUAAUAAAAAAGCUAUGGCAAACA
Molecule: long non-coding RNA, 615 nt
Organism: Carassius carassius (crucian carp)
Lineage: Eukaryota; Metazoa; Chordata; Actinopteri; Cypriniformes; Cyprinidae
Exons: 4
Source: RefSeq, a predicted model, not a curated record